Molecule: long non-coding RNA, 5127 nt
Filed under: Homo sapiens (human)
Lineage: Eukaryota; Metazoa; Chordata; Mammalia; Primates; Hominidae
Description: non-protein coding lnc-ABCA1-8:2
Source: RNAcentral
AGAGUCGGCGCUCCCGCAGGGGCCUCCGAGUGCGGGGAGGCCGCGGGGCCCGGGUCACGGCACUAAGGGGGGAUGGGGUGCAAGCGAGCAAGCGAGGUCUGCGGAGCGGGCCGUGGAAGGGCUCCGGGACCCGCUGAAACCAUCUGAACCCAGCCAGGGGGCAGCGGGCAAGAGAAAAGGGACAGAAUAUCUAAUGAAGCAGAAACUGGAAUUCGGUGGGAGAGGUGAAGAGCUCUUGCUGGGGGUACACCUGCGAGGAGCACAGAAAACGGGCGGCGGAUGGCGGGGAGACUCCACGGAGGUGGAAGAGAGGAGCCAGGCCCGGAAGAACAGGGAAGGGGAUGCCACCUGGGGCAGAGGAGGCGCCAGUGCAGCCUCUACCUGCAGGCGGGCGGGACGGGCAGCUCAGGUGUGACUGGGAGGAGGGGGCCGACUGGGGAAGGGGCCGGGAAGAGCUGAGGGCGCACUAGGCGCCGCGCAGAGGCGCCUUUGAGUCGGCAGCCGCGGAGCCAGCGCACGGGCAUCGGCGGGACCCGGCGGACGGAAAGGCGGAGUGGGGGUCUUUGGACUGCACGACUAUAAUUUCAUGUGUGUGAAAUUCAAGGGGAAAAAGGAAACAAUACAUAAUCCAGUCUGUAGCUUCUCAUGGAUCGUGCAAAGCACCACCAGGACAGACAUCUCAAGCACAUUUGAAGAGCUCCUGUUUCCUAAGUAAGACAGCAGCAGCAAGACUGCAAUCAUUUCUGGGAAGGCAGUAUCAUCAUAAUGCAAUAUUAGCUACUGUGAUCUUCUAUCAUUUCCUUCCUGGAGAGUUAUGACUGUGGCAUUGAAGAUUUAAGACCUACAGCCUCAACACUACUUACUACAAAUCUCUCACAAAGCUGCUGCAAUAAAUCUCGUGGAGGAAAGUCAUUGCAUAAAAAAAUCCUCAACUCCAGGGAGUUGGCCAUUUAUUUUCCUAGAAAAGGGGCUGUGAUGAGAGACACUCCAUGCUCCUUUAACUCCAUGGAACAGAACCCAACAAAACAUUCAUCAUGGAAAGUUGACUGAUGGGCCCAGUGAGACUAGCUGGGGAAGGAAGAUGGAAAGAGAAGUGCCCCAUCCAAGGCCUGCUCCUUUUCCUAGCUGCAGCCCGGAGGGAUUUCCUCUUAGCUUGAGGAUUGACUUUCCAUAGAAUCAGCACCACUGAGGGUAAGCUUCCCUGAAGACAAACUCUGUCAUUGGAGAGCUCAGCCAGGGGUCUAAAACUGGACCCUAUGGACUCCACAGAUUUAUUUAGUCUGCACAGUGUUUAAAAAUGUUUUUAGUUAGGGCCAGGCAUGGUGGCUCCCACCUGUAAUCCCAGCACUUUGAGAGGCCGAGGUGGGUGGAUCACCUAAGGUCAGGAGUUUGAGACCAGCCUGCCUGACAUGGCAAAACCCAGUCUCUACUAAAAAUACAAAAAUUAGCUGGGCAUGGUUGCUCAGGCCUGUAAUCUCAGAUACUUGGGAGGCUGAGGCACAAGAAUCACUUGAACCUGGGAGGCGGAGGUUGCAGUGAGCCAAGAUCGCACCAUUGCACUCCAGCUUGGGUGACAAGAGUGAAACUCCAUCUCAAAAAAAAAAAAAAAAGUUUCUAGUUAGUUCCCAACAUAAAAAAUUAACAAUUUUGCAAAGAAAGAUAAAAUCCAGAUUUUGGGCUCCCCUAAACAAAUUGGGAUAUCUGAAAACAGUGGGCCACAUUCCUACAUUCCUGCCCCUGUUGACAGUAUGCGCCUGCUCUAAUUUUACUUCCCCUUUUACCCUAACUGCCCUGUAGGGAAUGGAGUUUGCAAUCCCCAUACUAAUCCAUCACCCUGCAGGUCCAUUCCCCUCCUCCCUGACCUCUGUUCUGAUAAGGGGUGAGAGAAUGAACCCCCAUAUGUAUUGAAUGGAAAAUACAUGUAUUGGCCAGGCACAGCGGCUCACACUUGUAAUCCCAGCACUUUGGGAGGCCAAGAUGGGCAGAUCACCUGAGGUCAGGAGUUCAAGACCAGCCUGGCCAAUAUGGCGAAACCGUGUUUCUACUAAAAAUAAUUUAAAAACAAAAUUAGCCAGACAUGAUGGCAGGCGCCUAUAAUCCCAACUACUCAGGAGGCUGGGGCAGGAGAAUCGUUUGAACCCAGGAGGCGGAGGCUGCAGUGAGCCAAGAUCGCACCAUGGCACACCAGCCUGGGCAACAAGACUGAAACUCCAUCUCAAAAAAAAUAAAAAUAAAAAUACAUGUAUUGAUGAGAAAAUACAACUGACUAAUCCCACCUAAACCAUGACCUCAUAUAAAUUCAGAAGAUCUUUCUAACAUGGCAGGGAGGCAGCCUAGUAUAAAGCAAAGAGCACAUGCUUUGCGAAUGUAAACCAAAAAUAAAAGUUGAAGGCCCUCCUCACCAUAUGAAUGGUCUCCUUCCUUUGCCAGGGCACCCUAAAAUUUAACUGGUUGAGGCCAUGAUGGGUAGUAGGGGUUGGACAUGCCUCAUUAUACCCUUCCAGCAGUAACAUCAACACAGACUUUAAGUCUGAUAAGAAACAUUUACAGUCUAUUUUCUCUAAAGCCUGCUACUUGGAGAUAUAAAACCUAGGUCUCCACAACCCCUAUUGUAACCCAGCCAUUUCUUUCUAAUGAUAAUAAGUCUUUCAACCAAUUGCCAAUCAGAAUAUGUUUAAAUCUUCCUAUGACCUAGAAGCACCCCACUCUUUGAGUUGUCCCACCCUUCCAGAUUGAACCAAUGUAAAUGGUUCAAUUGAUUGAUGUGUUAUAUCUCCCUAAAGUGUAUAAAAGGAAGCUGUACCUCAACCAUCUUGGGCACGCGUCUUCAGGAACUCCUGAGUCUGUGUCACAGGUGUGUCCUUAACCUUGGCAAAGUAAACUUUCCAUUACUUAUAAUGGCAAAAACUGCAAUUACUUUUGCACCAACCUAAUAAAUGGAUUGAGACUUGCCUCAGAUACUUAUUGGUUUAUACCUAGAGGCAGACCUUGGCUCAAAUCCCAUCUCUCCCUUACUCUGGGAUAUUGUCCAACUUGCUCAGCCUCUUGAAACCUACUUUGCUUACAGCAAAAUGGGUAUAAGGGGAUCUUUCACCCAAGCCUUUUGUGAGGACUAAAUGUGGUAAUGGACAUUAAGUGCCAGACCCCUUGAAUGUGCCAUCUUCUCUCAGCUUCUAUAAUGUCAUGCUGUCAGUUCCCUCCUUUUCUUUUUUUCUUUUCUUUUCUUUUUUUUUUUUUUUUUUGAGACGGAGUCUUGCUCUGUCCCCCAGGCUGGAGUGCAGUGGCACGAUCUCGGCUCACUGCAAGCUCCGCCUCCCGGGUUCACGCCAUUCUCCUGCCUCAGCCUUCCGAGUAGCUGGGACUACAGGCGUCCGUCACCGCGCCUGGCUAAUUGUUUUUGUAUUUUUCUUAGAGACUGGGUUUCACAGUGGUCUCGAUCUCCUGACCUCGUGGUCCGCCCGCCUCGGCCUCCCAAAGUGCUGGGAUUACAGGUGUGAGCCACCGCGCCCAGCCUAGUUCCCUCCUUUUCAUGGCUUCUUUGCUUCAUCUUUUCUGUCUCCUUUGAAGGUAUGCCUUCCUGGAAUAUACCAUAAAUGUCAGUGUUCCUCAGGAUUCUAUCUUGACCUGACUCCCCCGACCCAACUGCUAGCUUUUCCCUCUGUCUAAUGCUGGUACAGAUACAUAAACUGAUAGGUAGAUUACAACACAAUUCGAUUUUCUGUUUUGCUUUUUUUUUUGGCUUAUUAUUACAUAAACUUUUUUUCAUUGCUGCCAUACAUUCUUCAAAAUAAACACUUCGGGGGGCGAGCUGGCCCAGCACUUUGGGAGGCCAAGGAGGUGGAUCACUUCAGGUCAGGAGUUCGAGACCAGCCUGACCAACAUGGUGAAACCCCCAUCUCUACUAAAAAUACAAAAAUUAGCCGGGUGUUGGUGCAAGCACCUGUAAUCUCAACUGCUCGGGAGGCUGAGGCAUGAAAAUCACUUGAACCCGCGAGGCAGAGGUUGCAGUGAGCCAAUAUAGUACCACUGUACUCCAGCCUGGGCAACAGAGCUGCGAGACCUUGUCUCAAACAAAACAAAACAAAACAAAAUAAACACUUCAUGGCUGAACAAUAUGCCAUUUCCUGAAUAGAUUGUAAUUUACCUAAUCAUUUCUCUAAUAGUGGACACUUAGGUUGUUCUAAUUUUGAAAGGCAGGAAUACCAAGAAUGUUUUCUUGCACAUGGCAGAUUAUUUCUCAGUAUAGGCUCAUCCUUUCGAGUAUAUGGCAUCUUUUCUUCUUUCCCUCCUCUCUCUCCUCAGAAGUACUCAAGGCCCCGGAGAUACUUUGGCUGUAUCCCCACCAAUCUCAUCUUGAAUUGUAGCUCCCAUGAUUCCCAUGUAUCCUGAGAGGGACCCAGUGGGAGGUAAUUGAAUCAUGGGGGCAGGUCUUUCCCGUGCUGUUCUAGAGAUAGUGAAUGAGUCUCACAAGAUCUGAUGGUUUUAUAAAGGGCGGUUCCCCUACACAAGUUCUCUCUUGCCUGCCACUUUGCUCCUCAUUUGCUCUCUGCCAUGACUGUGAGCCCUCCCCAGCCAUAUGCAACUGUGAGUCAAUUAAACCUCUUUUCUUAAUAAAUUACCCAGUCUCUGGUAUGUCUGUAUUAGCAGUGUGAGACAGACUAAUACAGCCCUUAUGUGUCCAGAAGUACUGACUUUCUUGGAUGAUACCUUAAGUAAAGCCUAAUAAAGCUUUAGUGACUGAUACAUUUUUAAAAAUGAAGUAAUUAUUUAUGUGUAAUGAGACAAAUUAUUUAUUUCAGAGUGUUAUUUGCCUUACUCUCUUCCCCCAGCAAAAGGAGUCCUCAAGUGGCCAGCCACAUUUUCUCAUUUCUCCUUUCUUCAAAAACUGAUGGGAUCUUGCUUGAUGAAGUCACAUAACAAGUGAAUACAGCAAAGAGAGAGGGAAGGGGGAGGAAAUAGCCGUUGGGAAUGGAGUGUUGUUGGAUGAGCUUUGUGAAGUGUGGGAAGAGAAAGAUACUAGAGGAGACCGAGACAAAUGGAUAGGUGAAGAAACAGAAUUUUAGUAAGUGGUGCUGUAUGCUAUAUAUGUGGAUUUGCCUCAAAGUUUUAAAAAAUGGCAAGCAGAAA